GAACUACUCCCUCUGUUCGGAAUUACUUGUCUCAGAAAUGGAUAUAUAUAGAACUAAAAUACAUCUAGAUACAUCCAUUUCUGAGACAAGUAAUUCCGAACGGAGGGAGUAGUAG
Molecule: non-coding RNA, 115 nt
Organism: Triticum aestivum (bread wheat)
Lineage: Eukaryota; Viridiplantae; Streptophyta; Magnoliopsida; Poales; Poaceae
Source: Rfam